AACGAACGCUGGCGGCAUGCCUAACACAUGCAAGUCGAACGAGACCUUCGGGUCUAGUGGCGCACGGGUGCGUAACGCGUGGGAACCUUCCCUUAGGUUCGGAAUAACUCCCCGAAAGGGGUGCUAAUACCGGAUAAUGUCUUCGGACCAAAGAUUUAUCGCCUUUGGAUGGGCCCGCGUUGGAUUAGCUAGUUGGUAGGGUAAAAGCCUACCAAGGCGACGAUCCAUAGCUGGUCUGAGAGGAUGAUCAGCCACACUGGGACUGAGACACGGCCCAGACUCCUGCGGGAGGCAGCAGGGGGGAAUAUUGGAAAAUGGGCGAAAGCCUGAGCCAGCAAUGGCGUGUGAGUGAUGAAGGCCUUAGGGUUGUAAAGCUCUUUUACCCGGGAUGAUAAUGACGGUACCGGGAGAAUAAGCACCGGCUAACUCCGUG
RNAcentral lists this ribosomal RNA (433 nucleotides) under uncultured bacterium. RNAcentral's name for it is "partial 16S ribosomal RNA". It matches the Rfam family "Bacterial small subunit ribosomal RNA", at positions 29 to 507 of the family's 1533-position model. The record is from RNAcentral.